CUCUAUUAGUAAUAAUUAAUAGUAAGAUCUGCUCCAUGGAUAAUAAAUAGCCGCAAUUUGUGCAAAGGUAGCAUAAUCAUUUGUCUUUUAAAUGAAGACUAGAACAAAAGAUUUAACAUUUCAAUAUAUUUUCCUAAUAUAUACAAUUAAAUUUUUCCAAGAUGUAAAAAGACAUCUAUAUACAAGAAAGACGAUAAGACCCUAUUGAACUUUACUUUAGUUAAACUGGGGCAGUAAAUUAAUUAUUAUUUUAAUUUAGAUUAAUAAACAAAUAUCUAAUAAAAUUAAAUAAUUCAGUUACCAUAGGGAUAACAGCGUAAUAGUAUUUUAAAGAUCUUAUUAAAAAAACAGAUUACGACCUCGAUGUUGAAUUAAUACCCUAAUUAAGGCAAAACUUAAAAAAGGAAGUCUGUUCGACUUUUAAAAAAUUACAUGAUUUGAGUUCAGACCGGCGUAAGCCAGGUCGGUUUCUAUCUUCUAAAUAAUUUUUUACAGUACGAAAGGACCUAAAAAUAUAAUU
Molecule: ribosomal RNA, 520 nt
Filed under: Habronattus mataxus
Lineage: Eukaryota; Metazoa; Arthropoda; Arachnida; Araneae; Salticidae
Description: partial 16S ribosomal RNA
Rfam family: Bacterial large subunit ribosomal RNA (bases 185-479)
Source: RNAcentral